GUUUUUUCCCACCCACAUCCUGCUUCUAAUUGGCUCUGACCCAGAUGGCAACGAGAGCCAAUCAGAGGCAGGGCAGGGCAAUCUGUUUUUUUUUUUCUGGUUAGGAAAACGUCGUCAGUGAGUGACGUAAACUUUAAAUGAAUGCGCGCGAGUUGCGACUGAUGGUGACUGACUGGACUGUAGGAGAGUUUUUUGGAGGAACAAAUGCCUGGGACAAAGUGGGCGAUAUGUUUAAUUUGCACCUUGGUACCUGAAGCAACUUGAAAGAUAAUGGUGGUGUUAUUCUUCAUAUAUAUGAGGCUAAAGUGUUAUGAGUCUUAAGAAAAAUGUUUUAGACCAAGCCUCAUCCUCACCUGUUCAAAUGGUUUUGACUGGAAUGGUUUUUAAACCAGUUUAGUUUCUUUAAGUCUUUUCUAACGCACUCAUUUGUUUAUCAGAGCAGGAGCCACUUUAUUGCUGCACACUAAGAUCAUCAAUAAUUUCUCCUGUUUCUGGGUUAUAGUCAUUUAAAAAUGGGAUCUUCUGCAGUCCCUGCAAUAAUAAAUAAAGAAUUUGUGAAUUCAGGAUGAUUUUUAUUUGUGUGUGCAAAUUUUAAUUAUCAGAUGUUUACUGUGUAUAUAAUGUACUUGGUACAUCAGUCUAUAUUUGAUAUCCCAUCAGUUUUCUAAUGUUAAAUAAUGUUAAAAGGUGGUUUAACUCCCUCUUGUGGUCAUUGUCCUGAAGCUCAGGGGGGAGAAAAAUAAAUAAACUGUACCGUGUGUGGCAGUUUUGUAAAACUGCGCACAGUUUACCAAUCUGUCCACAUGGAUGUAAAUUGAGAAUCUGUACCCACAGUUUAAAAUCCGUCCCCACGGAUUGUAAAACCGUGCACACAGUUUAUUUAUUUUUCUCUUCCCGGAACCUAGGGGGGCUCCGUAGAAAAAGUCGCUUGUUUUCACAGGCCUGGUUGCUUAUUUGUCUCGCGAGAUCUGGCAACACUGAGAGAAAUCUGAAUUACCCACCGAAUCUUGCAGAGACGGCGAGCGUGAACAGGAGCAAAUUUUGAACUUCAACUGCACUACUUUUCAUAGACAGCAUAAGCUGUUACACCAUGGAUAACAACAAAGGUAAGCCAUGUAGCUAUAGUAUAAUUUAGAAAUAUAGUAUAAAAUAUGGAAAGCAACACAUUGACCGUAAGAGAAAAUAAAAUAAUAAAUGAACCUUGUGUAAUACCUAUA
Long non-coding RNA from Cyprinus carpio (common carp), 1217 nucleotides. The record is from Ensembl. Lineage: Eukaryota; Metazoa; Chordata; Actinopteri; Cypriniformes; Cyprinidae.